This 154-nucleotide non-coding RNA is filed under the name Nocardioides sp. The record is from RNAcentral. Lineage: Bacteria; Bacillati; Actinomycetota; Actinomycetes; Propionibacteriales; Nocardioidaceae.
CCCGUGGCGCAGCGUCCUGGUCGUCAACCGCGUAGUCUGACCCGCGUCCUGUCGGAAGGAACCCGGUGUGAGUCCGGGGCGGUUCCGCCACUGUGAGGCCCUCGUUGACCGCGUGGGCCCAGCCAGACACUGCUGCCAGGACACCCGCAUCCAC